UGAGGAAUAUUGGUCAAUGGACGAGAGUCUGAACCAGCCAAGUAGCGUGCAGGAAGACGGCCCUAUGGGUUGUAAACUGCUUUUAUAAGGGAAUAAAGUUAGUCUCGUGAGACUUUUUGCAUGUACCUUAUGAAUAAGGACCGGCUAAUUCCGUGCCAGCAGCCGCGGUAAUACGGAAGGUCCGGGCGUUAUCCGGAUUUAUUGGGUUUAAAGGGAGCGUAGGCCGGAGAUUAAGCGUGUUGUGAAAUGUAGACGCUCAACGUCUGCACUGCAGCGCGAACUGGUUUCCUUGAGUACGCACAAAGUGGGCGGAAUUCGUGGUGUAGCGGUGAAAUGCUUAGAUAUCACGAAGAACUCCGAUUGCGAAGGCAGCUCACUGGAGCGCAACUGACGCUGAAGCUCGAAAGUGCGGGUAUCGAACAGGAUUAGAUACCCUGGUAGUCCGCACGGUAAACGAUGGAUGCCCGCUGUUGGUCUGAAUAGGUCAGCGGCCAAGCGAAAGCAUUAAGCAUCCCACCUGGGGAGUACGCCGGCAACGGUGAAACUCAAAGGAAUUGACGGGGGCCCGCACAAGCGGAGGAACAUGUGGUUUAAUUCGAUGAUACGCGAGGAACCUUACCCGGGCUUGAAUUGCAGAGGAAGGAUUUGGAGACAAUGACGCCCUUCGGGGCCUCUGUGAAGGUGCUGCAUGGUUGUCGUCAGCUCGUGCCGUGAGGUGUCGGCUUAAGUGCCAUAACGAGCGCAACCCCUCUCCUUAGUUGCCAUCAGGUCAAGCUGGGCACUCUGGGGACACUGCCACCGUAAGGUGUGAGGAAGGUGGGGAUGACGUCAAAUCAGCACGGCCCUUACGUCCGGGGCUACACACGUGUUACAAUGGCAGGUACAGAGAGACGGUCCCUUGCAAAACGGAUCAAAUCCUUAAAGCCUGUCUCAGUUCGGACUGGGGUCUGCAACCCGACCCCACGAAGCUGGAUUCGCUAGUAAUCGCGCAUCAGCCACGGCGCGGUGAAUACGUUCCC
RNAcentral lists this ribosomal RNA (1019 nucleotides) under uncultured bacterium. Its description in RNAcentral is "bacterial SSU rRNA". It matches the Rfam family "Bacterial small subunit ribosomal RNA", at positions 355 to 1375 of the family's 1533-position model. The record is from RNAcentral.